Molecule: ribosomal RNA, 691 nt
Filed under: Arthrobacter sp. DI4
Lineage: Bacteria; Bacillati; Actinomycetota; Actinomycetes; Micrococcales; Micrococcaceae
Description: bacterial SSU rRNA
Rfam family: Bacterial small subunit ribosomal RNA
Source: RNAcentral
UGAUCCCAGCUUGCUGGGGGAUUAGUGGCGAACGGGUGAGUAACACGUGAGUAACCUGCCCUUGACUCUGGGAUAAGCCGGGAAACUGGGUCUAAUACCGGAUACGACCAUUCCACGCAUGUGGUGGUGGUGGAAAGCUUUUGUGGUUUUGGAUGGACUCGCGGCCUAUCAGCUUGUUGGUGGGGUAAUGGCCUACCAAGGCGACGACGGGUAGCCGGCCUGAGAGGGUGACCGGCCACACUGGGACUGAGACACGGCCCAGACUCCUACGGGAGGCAGCAGUGGGGAAUAUUGCACAAUGGGCGCAAGCCUGAUGCAGCGACGCCGCGUGAGGGAUGACGGCCUUCGGGUUGUAAACCUCUUUCAGUAGGGAAGAAGCGUAAGUGACGGUACUGCAGAAGAAGCGCCGGCUAACUACGUGCCAGCAGCCGCGGUAAUACGUAGGGCGCAAGCGUUAUCCGGAAUUAUUGGGCGUAAAGAGCUCGUAGGCGGUUUGUCGCGUCUGCUGUGAAAGACCGGGGCUCAACUCCGGUUCUGCAGUGGGUACGGGCAGACUAGAGUGCAGUAGGGGAGACUGGAAUUCCUGGUGUAGCGGUGAAAUGCGCAGAUAUCAGGAGGAACACCGAUUGGCGAAGGCAGGUCUCUGGGCUGUAACUUGACGCUGAGGAACGAAAGCAUUGGGGAGCGAACA